This is a long non-coding RNA of Magnolia sinica, 657 nucleotides long. RefSeq lists it as uncharacterized. The record is from RefSeq and is a predicted model, not a curated record. The transcript has 3 exons. NCBI's taxonomy places the organism in Eukaryota, Viridiplantae, Streptophyta, Magnoliopsida, Magnoliales, Magnoliaceae.
CCUUCCAAUAGGUUGGGUCCACCAUAAGGAUAGUCUUGCAUAAAAAUCAGUCCCAUCUACUCAUUAGGUGGGUCAGACUAGCAACAAUAUUUAUUCAUUAAUAAAUAAUAAAAUAUAAUUAUUUAUUUAUUUUCAGGGAUAUAAGCCACAAUAACUUUGUUAAUUGGCUCCCACCACAGGUGGGGAAUUUGUCAAGUCUGCAACAACUGGAUAUAAGCUUCAAUAAUUUCAUUAGUUCACUCCCACCUCAACUAGGGAAUUUAGAAAGUCUGCAACAACUGAAUAUAAGCUACAAUAACUUCAAUAAUUCACUCCCACUUGAACUGGGGAAGUUGGCGAGUCUGCGACUACUGUAAGUUCUGUUUUUCUUUCUUUAUUCUAUUUAAUUAUUCUUCUUAAGAAUGCCAUUUAAAGGGUUUGGAAUUUCAAAUUUGUCAUGAAGUUUGGUGGUGAUCAAUAUGUUAUAGUUUUAUUUAUUUAUUUAUUCAUUUAUUUUCUCUAAGAAGGUUUCAAGUCCAAUCAAUUGGACCAUAAUUCAUUGUCCACUAAGCUACUUUCAACCUAUCAUGUUCAUGUAACAUCCAAUCCUUCCAAUAGGUUGGCUCGACCUUGAAAAUAGCCUUGUACAAAAAUCAGCCCAUCCACUCAUUAGGUGGG